Molecule: ribosomal RNA, 506 nt
Filed under: uncultured Acidobacterium sp.
Lineage: Bacteria; Pseudomonadati; Acidobacteriota; Terriglobia; Terriglobales; Acidobacteriaceae
Description: bacterial SSU rRNA
Rfam family: Bacterial small subunit ribosomal RNA
Source: RNAcentral
AGAGUUUGAUCAUGGCUCAGAAUCAACGCUGGCGGCGUGCCUAACACAUGCAAGUCGAACGAGAAAGAUCCCCGCAAGGGGAUUGAGUACAGUGGCGAACGGGUGAGUAACACGUGACUAACCUACCUUCCAGUGGGGGAUAACCUCGGGAAACCGGGGCUAAGACCGCAUAAUCUCGCGAGGUGAAAUUCCUUGUGAGCAAAGGGGAAAGACGCUGGUAGAGGGGGUCGCGUCCGAUUAGCUAGUUGGCGGGGUAACGGCCCACCAAGGCGAUGAUCGGUAGCCGGCCUGAGAGGGCGCACGGCCACACUGGAACUGAAACACGGUCCAGACUCCUACGGGAGGCAGCAGUGGGGAAUUUUGCACAAUGGGGGAAACCCUGAUGCAGCAACGCCGCGUGGAGGAUGAAGUCCCUUGGGACGUAAACUCCUUUCGACCGGGACGAUAAUGACGGUACCGGUGGAAGAAGCCCCGGCUAACUCCGUGCCAGCCGCCGCGGUAAUUCA